This is a long non-coding RNA of Passer domesticus (house sparrow), 159 nucleotides long. RefSeq lists it as uncharacterized. NCBI's taxonomy places the organism in Eukaryota, Metazoa, Chordata, Aves, Passeriformes, Passeridae. The transcript is spliced from 2 exons. The record is from RefSeq and is a predicted model, not a curated record.
CCCAUUUUUGCCUUGUGCAUGGUCCUGCUGUGCUCAGAGGAAGCUGAUUCCCAGUACCUGGUGCUCCAGAAGUGAUCCUCAGCUAAUGAAAGCAACCCUCAGCAUUUCAGAAAACAGGCUGGAGUGUGGCUGAUAGGAGACAAAUCCACCUUUUUCCUU